This 465-nucleotide ribosomal RNA is filed under the name uncultured Streptococcus sp. RNAcentral's name for it is "bacterial SSU rRNA". It matches the Rfam family "Bacterial small subunit ribosomal RNA", at positions 338 to 795 of the family's 1533-position model. The record is from RNAcentral. Lineage: Bacteria; Bacillati; Bacillota; Bacilli; Lactobacillales; Streptococcaceae.
CCUACGGGUGGCAGCAGUAGGGAAUCUUCGGCAAUGGGGGCAACCCUGACCGAGCAACGCCGCGUGAGUGAAGAAGGUUUUCGGAUCGUAAAGCUCUGUUGUAAGUCAAGAACGAGUGUGAGAGUGGAAAGUUCACACUGUGACGGUAGCUUACCAGAAAGGGACGGCUAACUACGUGCCAGCAGCCGCGGUAAUACGUAGGUCCCGAGCGUUGUCCGGAUUUAUUGGGCGUAAAGCGAGCGCAGGCGGUUUGAUAAGUCUGAAGUUAAAGGCUGUGGCUCAACCAUAGUUCGCUUUGGAAACUGUCAAACUUGAGUGCAGAAGGGGAGAGUGGAAUUCCAUGUGUAGCGGUGAAAUGCGUAGAUAUAUGGAGGAACACCGGUGGCGAAAGCGGCUCUCUGGUCUGUAACUGACGCUGAGGCUCGAAAGCGUGGGGAGCGAACAGGAUUAGAUACCCGGGUAGUC